Molecule: ribosomal RNA, 295 nt
Filed under: Salmonella enterica subsp. enterica serovar Newport
Lineage: Bacteria; Pseudomonadati; Pseudomonadota; Gammaproteobacteria; Enterobacterales; Enterobacteriaceae
Description: partial 16S ribosomal RNA
Rfam family: Bacterial small subunit ribosomal RNA
Source: RNAcentral
AAAUUGAAGAGUUUGAUCAUGGCUCAGAUUGAACGCUGGCGGCAGGCCUAACACAUGCAAGUCGAACGGUAACAGGAAGCAGCUUGCUGCUUUGCUGACGAGUGGCGGACGGGUGAGUAAUGUCUGGGAAACUGCCUGAUGGAGGGGGAUAAACACGGGAAACGGGGGCUAAUACCGCAUAACGUCGCAAGACCAAAGAGGGGGACCUUCGGGCCUCUUGCCAUCAGAUGUGCCCAGCUGGGAUUCACUUGUUGGGGGGGGUACGGCUCAACAACACGACCAUGCCUAGCUGGUC